AAACGAACUUGGAGAUAGCUGGUUCUCUCCGAAAUAGCUUUAGGGCUAGCCUCGGAAUUAGGAUCAUGGAGGUAGAGCACUAUUUGGACUAGGGGCCCGUCUUGGGUUACUGAAUUCAGAUAAACUCCGAAUGCCAUUGAUUCAUAUCCGGGAGUCAGACGAUGAGUGAUAAGAUCCACCGUCGAAAGGGGAACAGCCCAGACCAUCAGUUAAGGUCCCUAAAUGUAUGCUAAGUGGAAAAGGAUGUGGAGUUGCAUAGACAGCUAGGAUGUUGGCUCAGAAGCAGCCACCAUUUAAAGAGUGCGUAA
Molecule: ribosomal RNA, 308 nt
Filed under: Geminigera cryophila
Lineage: Eukaryota; Cryptophyceae; Pyrenomonadales; Geminigeraceae
Description: partial Bacterial large subunit ribosomal RNA
Rfam family: Bacterial large subunit ribosomal RNA
Source: RNAcentral